CUUGGUUGAUCCUGCCGGAAGCUACUGCUAUUGGGAUUCGACUAAGCCAUGCGAGUCAAGGUGUCUUCGGACGCCGGCGUACGGCUCAGUAACACGUAGGUAACCUACCCUCAGGACUGAGAUAACCCCGGGAAACUGGGGCUAAUAUUAGAUAGAUAAAAGGUACUGGAAUGUUCUUUUAUCCAAAGCUUUUGCGCCUGAGGAUGGGCCUGCGUCCGAUUAGGUUGUUGGUGGGGUAAUGGCCCACCAAGCCUGCGAUCGGUACGGGCAGUGAGAGCUGAAGCCCGGAGUUGGGGACUGAGACAAGGCCCCAGGCCCUACGGGGCGCAGCAGGCGCGAAACCUCUGCAAUGCGGGAAACCGUGACAGGGGGAUCCCAAGUGCUCAUGCAUUGCAUGGGCUGUUCUUUGGUCUAAGUAACCAGAGGAGUAAGGGCUGGGCAAGACCGGUGCCAGCCGCCGCGGUAAUACCGGCAGCUCAAGUGGUAGCCGCGAUUAUUGGGCCUAAAGGGUUCGUAGCCGGAUAAGUAAGUCUUUGGUUAAAUCCUACAACUCAACUGUGGGAAAUCUAGGGAUACUACUUGUCUUGAGACCGGGAGAGGUUAGAGGU
This 608-nucleotide ribosomal RNA is filed under the name uncultured archaeon. Its description in RNAcentral is "bacterial SSU rRNA". It matches the Rfam family "Archaeal small subunit ribosomal RNA", at positions 1 to 616 of the family's 1478-position model. The record is from RNAcentral.